Molecule: long non-coding RNA, 706 nt
Organism: Chelonia mydas (Green sea turtle)
Lineage: Eukaryota; Metazoa; Chordata; Testudines; Cheloniidae
Exons: 2
Source: RefSeq, a predicted model, not a curated record
AUAAUUACAUGUGCAUUGAGGGAAGCUAUUGGUUUAAGGACAUGCUUAAGGAAAAGAUCCACAUGAUGUGCUGAAUCUUGAAUUUGAUCUCUGCAUUAGCUGAAAGAGGUGUAAAAUCAACUGAAUGGUGACAGCUCACUCUGCUACAUAUCUGAAUCUCACUGCUCCUUUGUGAUUCAUCCAGGCACACACAAAUAGUUGAUAAGCGGCACUGAAACCUUGCACAUUUUGAUCUCUCCUGGGGAUGUUCAAACACAUGUGCCGUAGACAUGCAUGGAUGUCCUAUGGUGCCUGUUGGAGGACUGGAGUGUUAUUUAAGCCCAGAUGUAACUUUGAGCCAGCGUUCCUGCUAACCACUCAACAGCAUGUGGAGUUCCGCUCUUUGCUGCUAUGCAAAGCCAAAUCUGGAAUCAGAACUGAGUUCCAAGCAUGUGUAGAUUUAGAAGCAAGCAUGGUGACAUUUGGCUGAGCCACAUCCUCUUGGGACCUCCUAAUGGAUCAUAACUCAUAAUUGUGGACAUCUCAUGUACAGUACUAACCCUUCACUUGCUAUUCCUGGAUCCAUGGCAAUAUGGACAGACACGCAGACCAAUCCACCUCUUCAAAAGAAGAAAAAGGGCCAGCUGUCAUUCAUUCCAAUUGUGGAACUGAAUUCUCUAUUUUAACUUGGGCUGGCCAGGAAACAAGAAUUUUUUAUUGCAACAAA